ACGGAGGGUGCGAGCGUUGUCCGGAAUCAUUGGGCGUAAAGGGCGCGUAGGUGGCCUGUGCAAGCGUGCGGUGAAAGCUCGGGGCUCAACCCCGAGUCGGCCGUGCGAACUGCUGGGCUCGAGCACUGUAGAGGCAGGCGGAAUUCCGGGUGUAGCGGGGGAAUGCGUAGAGAUCCGGAAGAUAAACGGUGGCGAAGGCGGCCUGCUGGGCAGUUUCUGACACUGAGGAGCGAAAGCGUGGGGAGCAAACAGGA
Molecule: ribosomal RNA, 254 nt
Filed under: uncultured prokaryote
Description: partial 16S ribosomal RNA
Rfam family: Bacterial small subunit ribosomal RNA
Source: RNAcentral